This 468-nucleotide ribosomal RNA is filed under the name uncultured bacterium. Its description in RNAcentral is "partial 16S ribosomal RNA". It matches the Rfam family "Bacterial small subunit ribosomal RNA", at positions 28 to 507 of the family's 1533-position model. The record is from RNAcentral.
GACGAACACUGGCGGCGUGCUUAACACAUGCAAGUCGAACGGAAAGGCCCUGCUUUUGUGGGGUGCUCGAGUGGCGAACGGGUGAGUAACACGUGAGUAACCUGCCCUUGACUUUGGGAUAACUUCAGGAAACUGGGGCUAAUACCGGAUAGGAGCUCCUGCUGCAUGGUGGGGGUUGGAAAGUUUCGGCGGUUGGGGAUGGACUCGCGGCUUAUCAGCUUGUUGGUGGGGUAGUGGCUUACCAAGGCUUUGACGGGUAGCCGGCCUGAGAGGGUGACCGGCCACAUUGGGACUGAGAUACGGCCCAGACUCCUACGGGAGGCAGCAGUGGGGAAUAUUGCACAAUGGGCGGAAGCCUGAUGCAGCAACGCCGCGUGUGGGAUGACGGCCUUCGGGUUGUAAACCGCUUUCGCCUGUGACGAAGCGUGAGUGACGGUAAUGGGUAAAGAAGCACCGGCUAACUACGUG